Molecule: non-coding RNA, 79 nt
Filed under: unclassified sequences
Description: Clostridiales-2 RNA
Rfam family: Clostridiales-2 RNA
Source: Rfam by way of RNAcentral
UAAAAGAAAGAUGUGCAGAGGGGGCACCCCUCGCCGUCGAAGGAAGGUGCUCAGGCUGCUUGCAGCCGCCGAAGGGAAC